GAUGAACGCUGGCGGCGUGCUUAACACAUGCAAGUCGAACGAAGCACUUUAUUUGAUUUCCUUCGGGACUGAUUAUUUUGUGACUGAGUGGCGGACGGGUGAGUAACGCGUGGGUAACCUGCCUUGUACAGGGGGAUAACAGUUGGAAACGGCUGCUAAUACCGCAUAAGCGCACAGCAUCGCAUGAUGCAGUGUGAAAAACUCCGGUGGUAUAAGAUGGACCCGCGUUGGAUUAGCUAGUUGGUGAGGUAACGGCCCACCAAGGCGACGAUCCAUAGCCGACCUGAGAGGGUGACCGGCCACAUUGGGACUGAGACACGGCCCAAACUCCUACGGGAGGCAGCAGUGGGAAAUAUUGCACAAUGGGCGAAAGCCUGAUGCAGCGACGCCGCGUGAGCGAAGAAGUAUUUCGGUAUGUAAAGCUCUAUCAGCAGGGAAGAUAAUGACGGUACCUGACUAAGAAGCACCGGCUAAAUACG
This 479-nucleotide ribosomal RNA is filed under the name uncultured bacterium. Its description in RNAcentral is "partial 16S ribosomal RNA". It matches the Rfam family "Bacterial small subunit ribosomal RNA", at positions 28 to 505 of the family's 1533-position model. The record is from RNAcentral.